GGGUUGUGAGGUUAAGCGACUAAGCGUACACGGUGGAUGCCCUGGCAGUCAGAGGCGAUGAAGGGCGUGCUAAUCUGCGAUAAGCGCCGGUAAGGUGAUAUGAACCGUUAUAACCGGCGAUACCCGAAUGGGGAAACCCAGUGUGAUUCGUCACACUAUCAUUAACUGAAUCCAUAGGUUAAUGAGGCGAACCGGGGGAACUGAAACAUCUAAGUACCCCGAGGAAAAGAAAUCAACCGAGAUUCCCCCAGUAGCGGCGAGCGAACGGGGAGGAGCCCAGAGCCUGAAUCAGCAUGUGUGUUAGUGGAAGCGUCUGGAAAGGCGCGCGAUACAGGGUGACAGCCCCGUACACAAAAGCGCAUGUGCUGUGAGCUCGAUGAGUAGGGCGGGACACGUGGUAUCCUGUCUGAAUAUGGGGGGACCAUCCUCCAAGGCUAAAUACUCCUGACUGACCGAUAGUGAACCAGUACCGUGAGGGAAAGGCGAAAAGAACCCCGGCGAGGGGAGUGAAAAAGAACCUGAAACCGUGUACGUACAAGCAGUGGGAGCACCCUUCGGGGUGUGACUGCGUACCUUUUGUAUAAUGGGUCAGCGACUUAUAUUCUGUAGCAAGGUUAACCGUAUAGGGGAGCCGGAGGGAAACCGAGUCUUAAUUGGGCGUUAAGUUGCAGGGUAUAGACCCGAAACCCGGUGAUCUAGCCAUGGGCAGGUUGAAGGUUGGGUAACACUAACUGGAGGACCGAACCGACUAAUGUUGAAAAAUUAGCGGAUGACCUGUGGCUGGGGGUGAAAGGCCAAUCAAACCGGGAGAUAGCUGGUUCUCCCCGAAAGCUAUUUAGGUAGCGCCUCGUGAAUUCAUCUCCGGGGGUAGAGCACUGUUUCGGCUAGGGGGCCAUCCCGGCUUACCAACCCGAUGCAAACUGCGAAUACCGGAGAAUGUUAUCACGGGAGACACACGGCGGGUGCUAACGUCCGUCGUGAAGAGGGAAACAACCCAGACCGCCAGCUAAGGUCCCAAAGUCAUGGUUAAGUGGGAAACGAUGUGGGAAGGCCCAGACAGCCAGGAUGUUGGCUUAGAAGCAGCCAUCAUUUAAAGAAAGCGUAAUAGCUCACUGGUCGAGUCGGCCUGCGCGGAAGAUGUAACGGGGCUAAACCAUGCACCGAAGCUGCGGCAGCGAACGUAUCACCCAAGACAACUUUACGGAGUUGACGAUUGACGGAGCGAAGCGACGUCAAAGCGUUCAUUAAAGUCGAGUUGGCUUAGGGAUACGUUCGUUGGGUAGGGGAGCGUUCUGUAAGCCUGUGAAGGUGUGUCGUGAGGCAUGCUGGAGGUAUCAGAAGUGCGAAUGCUGACAUAAGUAACGAUAAAGCGGGUGAAAAGCCCGCUCGCCGGAAGACCAAGGGUUCCUGUCCAACGUUAAUCGGGGCAGGGUGAGUCGACCCCUAAGGCGAGGCCGAAAGGCGUAGUCGAUGGGAAACGGGUUAAUAUUCCCGUACUUGGUGUUACUGCGAAGGGGGGACGGAGAAGGCUAUGUUGGCCGGGCGACGGUUGUCCCGGUUUAAGCGUGUAGGUGUGUGUUCCAGGUAAAUCCGGUUCACUUUAACACUGAGGCGU
RNAcentral lists this ribosomal RNA (1615 nucleotides) under Salmonella enterica subsp. enterica serovar Typhimurium. RNAcentral's name for it is "partial 23S ribosomal RNA". It matches the Rfam family "Bacterial large subunit ribosomal RNA", at positions 1 to 1564 of the family's 2925-position model. Lineage: Bacteria; Pseudomonadati; Pseudomonadota; Gammaproteobacteria; Enterobacterales; Enterobacteriaceae. The record is from RNAcentral.